This 78-nucleotide transfer RNA is filed under the name Desulfuromonadaceae bacterium. RNAcentral describes it as "tRNA-Glu". It matches the Rfam family "tRNA". From Rfam's summary of the family: Transfer RNA (tRNA) molecules are approximately 80 nucleotides in length. Their secondary structure includes four short double-helical elements and three loops (D, anti-codon, and T loops). RNAcentral also lists the same sequence under 1 other name. The record is from RNAcentral. Lineage: Bacteria; Pseudomonadati; Thermodesulfobacteriota; Desulfuromonadia; Desulfuromonadales; Desulfuromonadaceae.
GUCCCUAUCGUCUAGCCUGGCCCAGGACAUCGCCCUUUCACGGCGACGACAGGGGUUCGAAUCCCCUUGGGGACGCCA